ACUGAAUCCAUAGGUUAAUGAGGCGAACCGGGGGAACUGAAACAUCUAAGUACCCCGAGGAAAAGAAAUCAACCGAGAUUCCCCCAGUAGCGGCGAGCGAACGGGGAGGAGCCCAGAGCCUGAAUCAGCAUGUGUGUUAGUGGAAGCGUCUGGAAAGGCGCGCGAUACAGGGUGACAGCCCCGUACACAAAAGCGCAUGUGCUGUGAGCUCGAUGAGUAGGGCGGGACACGUGGUAUCCUGUCUGAAUAUGGGGGGACCAUCCUCCAAGGCUAAAUACUCCUGACUGACCGAUAGUGAACCAGUACCGUGAGGGAAAGGCGAAAAGAACCCCGGCGAGGGGAGUGAAAAAGAACCUGAAACCGUGUACGUACAAGCAGUGGGAGCCCCACCACUAAGCCAGUGGUGAACUCCACAUACGCAUCCUUUGCUGAGGAUACGGUUAACGGAGCGAAAGCGACGUUCAACCGCAAAAGAAGCAGAGGGGGCUUAGUGGUGGGGUGACUGCGUACCUUUUGUAUAAUGGGUCAGCGACUUAUAUUCUGUAGCAAGGUUAACCGAAUAGGGGAGCCGGAGGGAAACCGAGUCUUAAUUGGGCGUUAAGUUGCAGGGUAUAGACCCGAAACCCGGUGAUCUAGCCAUGGGCAGGUUGAAGGUUGGGUAACACUAACUGGAGGACCGAACCGACUAAUGUUGAAAAAUUAGCGGAUGACCUGUGGCUGGGGGUGAAAGGCCAAUCAAACCGGGAGAUAGCUGGUUCUCCCCGAAAGCUAUUUAGGUAGCGCCUCGUGAAUUCAUCUCCGGGGGUAGAGCACUGUUUCGGCUAGGGGGCCAUCCCGGCUUACCAACCCGAUGCAAACUGCGAAUACCGGAGAAUGUUAUCACGGGAGACACACGGCGGGUGCUAACGUCCGUCGUGAAGAGGGAAACAACCCAGACCGCCAGCUAAGGUCCCAAAGUCAUGGUUAAGUGGGAAACGAUGUGGGAAGGCCCAGACAGCCAGGAUGUUGGCUUAGAAGCAGCCAUCAUUUAAAGAAAGCGUAAUAGCUCACUGGUCGAGUCGGCCUGCGCGGAAGAUGUAACGGGGCUAAACCAU
This 1094-nucleotide ribosomal RNA is filed under the name Salmonella enterica subsp. enterica serovar Heidelberg. RNAcentral's name for it is "partial 23S ribosomal RNA". It matches the Rfam family "Bacterial large subunit ribosomal RNA", at positions 157 to 1190 of the family's 2925-position model. Lineage: Bacteria; Pseudomonadati; Pseudomonadota; Gammaproteobacteria; Enterobacterales; Enterobacteriaceae. The record is from RNAcentral.